This 1286-nucleotide ribosomal RNA is filed under the name Salmonella enterica. RNAcentral's name for it is "partial 23S ribosomal RNA". It matches the Rfam family "Bacterial large subunit ribosomal RNA", at positions 784 to 1917 of the family's 2925-position model. Lineage: Bacteria; Pseudomonadati; Pseudomonadota; Gammaproteobacteria; Enterobacterales; Enterobacteriaceae. The record is from RNAcentral.
UUAGGUUGAAAACUGAGGGGAUGAGCUGUGGGUAGGGGUGAAAGGCCAAUCAAACUCCGUGAUAGCUGGUUCUCCCCGAAAUGCAUUUAGGUGCAGCGUCACGUGUUUCUUACCGGAGGUAGAGCUACUGGAUAGCUGAUGGGCCUCACCAGGUUACUGACGUUAGCCAAACUCCGAAUGCCGGUAAGUGAGAGCGUGGCAGUGAGACUGCGGGGGAUAAGCUCCGUAGUCGAGAGGGAAACAGCCCAGACCACCAUCUAAGGUCCCUAAGCGUGUGCUAAGUGGGAAAGGAUGUGGAGUUGCAUUGACAACCAGGAGGUUGGCUUAGAAGCAGCCACCCUUUAAAGAGUGCGUAAUAGCUCACUGGUCAAGUGAUUCCGCGCCGACAAUGUAGCGGGGCUCAAGCACACCACCGAAGCUGUGGCAUUGACACACUGCUCGGCCAGUUUUCCUGCGGGGUUCUGGUCCAGGCGUGUUGAUGGGUAGGGGAGCGUCGUGUGGCCAGGGAAGCGGCGGAGUGAUCCAGCCGUGGAGGCCACACGAGUGAGAAUGCAGGCAUGAGUAGCGAAUGACGGGCGAGAAACCCGUCCGCCGAAUAACCAAGGGUUCCAGGGUCAAGCUAAUCUGCCCUGGGUAAGUCGGGACCUAAGGCGAGGCCGACAGGCGUAGUCGAUGGACAUCCGGUUGAUAUUCCGGAACCGGCGAAGAACCGCCCAUGACGAACCUAGUGAUGCUAAACGCCCAAAGCUGUUGUCCAAGACCUUCGGGUUGAGGGUUUCAGUGGAGCGCGUGACCCGAUCUAGUAGUAGUCAAGCGAUGGAGAGACGCAGGAAGGUAGCCUCCGCGUGGCGAUGGUAGUCCACGUCCAAGGGUGUAGGGCGAGCUGUAGGCAAAUCCGCAGCUCACAUAGCCUGAGACCUGAUAGUGACCGCGUAUGCGGGAAGCAGGGUGAUCCUAUGCUGCCAAGAAAAUCUUCUAGCGAGGUUCGAGCCGCCCGUACCCCAAACCGACUCAGGUGGUUAGGUAGAGAAUACCAAGGCGAUCGAGUGAAUCGUGGUUAAGGAAUUCGGCAAAAUACCCCCGUAACUUCGGGAGAAGGGGGGCCCAGAGGGUGAAGGCACUUGCUGCCUAGCCUGAACGGCCGCAGAGACCAGGGAGAAGCGACUGUUUACUAAAAACACAGGUCCGUGCGAAGUCGCAAGACGAUGUAUACGGACUGACGCCUGCCCGGUGCUGGAAGGUUAAGAGGACCGGUUAGUUCUUCGGAGCGAAGCUGAGAAUUUAAG